This 292-nucleotide ribosomal RNA is filed under the name uncultured bacterium. RNAcentral describes it as "partial 16S ribosomal RNA". It matches the Rfam family "Bacterial small subunit ribosomal RNA", at positions 505 to 796 of the family's 1533-position model. The record is from RNAcentral.
GUGCCAGCCGCCGCGGUAUACGGGGGGAGCAAGCGUUGUUCGGAUUUACUGGGCGUAAAGGGCGCGUAGGCGGCCACCGCAAGUCGGUUGUGAAAUCUCCGGGCUUAACCCGGAAAGGUCAACCGAUACUGCGGGGCUAGAGUGCAGAAGGGGCAACUGGAAUUCUCGGUGUAGCGGUGAAAUGCGUAGAUAUCGAGAGGAACACCUGCGGCGAAGGCGGGUUGCUGGGCUGACACUGACGCUGAAGUGCGAAAGCUAGGGGAGCGAACGGGAUUAGAAACCCUGGUAGUCA